UACGGAGGGGACUAGCGUUGUUCGGAAUUACUGGGCGUAAAGCGCACGUAGGCGGAUUUGUAAGUCAGGGGUGAAAUCCCGGGGCUCAACCUCGGAACUGCCUUUGAUACUGCGAAUCUCGAGUCCGGAAGAGGUGAGUGGAAUUCCUAGUGUAGAGGUGAAAUUCGUAGAUAUGUGGAAGAACACCGGUGGCGAAGGCGGUUUUCUAGCUUAGACCUGACGCUGAGGCGCGAAAGCAAGGGGAGCAAACAGG
Molecule: ribosomal RNA, 253 nt
Filed under: uncultured bacterium
Lineage: Bacteria
Description: partial 16S ribosomal RNA
Rfam family: Bacterial small subunit ribosomal RNA
Source: RNAcentral